This 256-nucleotide ribosomal RNA is filed under the name uncultured bacterium. RNAcentral's name for it is "partial 16S ribosomal RNA". It matches the Rfam family "Bacterial small subunit ribosomal RNA", at positions 524 to 776 of the family's 1533-position model. The record is from RNAcentral.
UACGGAGGGGGCUAGUGUUCCUCAUAUUGAUUCGGCGUAAAGGGUAUGUAGGCGGUUUUUUCGGUUAGGGUAACAAGAUUAUUACAGCAGUGAUAGUAUUAUCUUAGAACAAAUUAACUUAGAGUUUAAAAUAGGAUAUUACAGUACUUCUAGUCUAGGGGUAAAAUCUUUAGGGAUUAGAGGGACUAUCGCGGGCGAAGGCGGUUAUCUGGUUUAAUACUGACGCUGAGAUACGAGGGUGUGGGUAGUCAAUGGG